Pygocentrus nattereri (red-bellied piranha) is the source of this 3295-nucleotide long non-coding RNA. RefSeq lists it as uncharacterized. The transcript is spliced from 4 exons. The record is from RefSeq and is a predicted model, not a curated record. Lineage: Eukaryota; Metazoa; Chordata; Actinopteri; Characiformes; Serrasalmidae.
CGCGCAUCGCGCAGAGCACAUGAGUGAAGUUAAAGCAGCAUGCUUAUUUAGCUGUGCCUCGUCUUUCCAAAAGACGGUUUUUAAAUGUUGUCAAAGUCUGAAAUGAAAUUCGUAAAAAAGUGAAUUACCGACUUGGCUCCGCUUUGUCGAGUUAGAAUUCAAACUCCGACUUCAAAUUUUAGCAGUUUUAGAUAUUAGUGUCAACACUUUCCGUCAUGGCUACCUCAUCUCCUAUUAACAUUACAGAUGUAACACCAACACCCGUGGCUCCAAACCAGACUGACUCCACUGUCAUAGGAGUGGUGAUUGUGCUGGUCCUGUUUACACUGGCUGUCGUGGCAUUCUUGCUUUACCGCUACCUGUGUCACAACAAGGGUGCCUAUCGAACAUCAGGAGAGCCUGCGCCAGGGGUGGAUCCUGAUCAAGUUUACCAAGACACGGUCACUGAAAAUAAGAAGGAGUACUUCAUUUGAAAUGCUGAGGACUGAACUGCACAGACUGUUGAGUGAGAUGCCAAUGAUGGACAUACUAAAUAGGUCUGUAUGUUUUAAAGAUGGUGUGUUGGGAAACUUCAUGGUUUCUUUGCUGCAGAAACACAACCACUGUGAAAACAGUGUCAAUGAGAUGAAUAGUUGGGCUGAUGUAGUUUUUGCUUACAUGGUGCUGAUGCAUCAUUGCAUCAUAGCAAAAGUGAGGUGGUCAAAUAAUGUAACUGAACUUGCUGUUACCAUUUUUUUGUUUUUUUUCCUGCUAGUUUUAAUAUAUGCUUAGGAUAUUUUUUUGACCUGGCAAACUGUUAUCCACAUUCUUAGUACACUUCCAUGCAUCUGAUGCCUCAUGCCAGUUAUGGGUUGUGAUACACCUGCCACCACUGUUUCAAACAGUAGUUGGAGGACUGUAGCGCGACUUGAGUUCAUAAGAACCUAAACAACCACUUUCCUGAACACAUUUCUGACUUCAGGCCAGGUGUAAAUCAUUGCUGUUGUGCAAAAAUGUCUAAUUCCAUUUUGUCACUUUUUUUGUAUAAUCUGAAAAUUCUAGUAACACUGUGUUGUGUAGUUUUCUGAGAUUUAAGGUUUUGUACCAAGAGUGAUAUGUAGAUUUUCUCUACCAUUAUGUAGGCUUUCUGAAGUAUGUUUUUCCAGUCCUGGUCAUAGAGUACCCCUGCCCUGCAUGUUUUGAUAUCUAACCUGCUCUAACACACUUGAUGCAACAAAUCUAGUAAUUAACAAGCCUUUGCUGAGUACACCUGGCUAUGUGAACCAGGUAACAUGCUAAACCAGGCAUGUCCAACUGGGGACUUUCCAGACGAAAGUGCUAUAGAGAUUAGCAUUUACUAUCCUCCAAUGCUCUGAAAUUCAUGAAGGCCUUACUGAUUAGCUGAUGCAGACACACAAACAUUUAAAAAAAUGUAGAAAUUGGGACUAUGUCUACCCUUGGAUUGGAUUAAUAAAAUGCAGACAUUAAGAGUAGUAUCCUAGCAUCAUCUAAAUAUUUUGCAGUUCAGUACUAUAAAUAGUGGUCAGAUCUAAACAUCUUUGUCAACAUCUAACUUUAAAGUAAUAAAAUUAAGUAAUUCUAGUAAUGGUGAUACAUUUUUUAAAAUAAAAUAUGUUCCAGUAGUCAUGACUCCAGUAUCAUCAUGCAUCCCUACAGCUAACAGUAUACAAUGAUCAGGCAACAUUAUGGCCACCACCUUGUUUCUACGUUCAUUGUCCAUUUUAUCAGAUCCACUUACUAUAUAGGUGCGCUUUGUAGUUUACAAUUACAGACUGUAGUCCAUCUAUUUCUCUGCAUAUGUUGUUAGCCACCUUUUUAACCUGUUCUUCAGUGGUUAGGACCCCCAUGGACCCUCAUGGAGCAGGUACUAUUUGGGUGGUGGAUCAUUCUCAGCAACGCUGAUGUGGUGUGUUGGUGUGUGUUGUGCUGGGGUGAGUGGAUUAGACACCGUAUUGCUGCUGGAGUUUAUAAACACCUCAGUGUCACUGCUGGUCCGCCAACCAAAAACAUCCAGCCAACAGUGUCAUGUGACUACUGCAGAAGGACUAGGGGAUGACCAAUACAACCUGUGCAGUAGCAGAUGAGGUGAAAGUCUGUGACUUUACAUCUACAAGGUGGAUUGACAGGCUAGGACUGUCUAAUAGAGUGGACAGUGUGUGGACACAGUGUUUAAAAACUCCAGCAGCACUUCUGCGUCUGAUCCACUUGUACCAGCACAAUACACACAAAUACAUCAGCACCACAUCAGUGUUACUGCAGUGCUCAUGGAUGCAAUGUAUCACUGCUGAAAAGUCACCCCCAAAAAAUCUCUAGGUCAGUAUGCAGAUAUGCGUUCUGUACUGCAAAAAUAAAUGCUUUGUGGGAGAGAAACAAUUUAGCCAAGGAUGGCGAUUUGCUAGCUAGCUUGUUAGGUUUUUAUUGUCAUUGUAUUUUGGCUGCAUAGACUAGAGGAAUUUUGGAGUGUAGCAUGCUGUUAUUAGUGGCAGAUUCUGACAUGUAUUCUUAUUAGGAGGUCACAUCUGGCGUCGCAACACUACCUGCCACCUUGUCAGUCACAAAAUAAACCAGACACACUACACUAGUAAACUAACUGCUCUAACUACAAUAGUAGUGCCAAAUAAUAUGUAUCACAACCCAUAACUGAUCAUACAAAGCAAGGCAGCCUGUGGUUGACACCUAAGGUUGGUGUAUCUAACAAAACGGCUGCGUAUUUAAAAAAAAAAAAAAAAUCCACUGAUAUGGGUAAUAAUUUCCAACUUUGCUGCUAGAAUCAGAUCGUUUGAAGUUGUGCAUUUUGCUUGCAAGUUUUUAGUUACCAAAUCCAGUAACAAUGUUUGGGAGAGAAUAUUUUCUGUAACCUCAUGGGUUAAGAAUACUGCAAUAAACCUAUUGUACUGGUAUUUUCAAUACUGUUUUUAUGUAAUGUUUCAACGAACUCUUAUGCUGAAAGCAUUUUUAUUGACUUGAGUUCUCAUCUCUCCAAGAUAAAUGCCGGCCAUUUUGUCAUACUGAAGGAUAUAUAAAUCAAGCUGUAAUGCAAUCAAAUCGCUCCAUUCCCAGAAGCCAUAAGUAAGAAAAUAUGCAUGCUUUAUUGCCGCAUUGUAUCUUACACACACACAACUUGUGUUUGUGGGUGUAUGUGUGUGUGUGUGUGUGUGUGUGUGUGUCUUGUUUUUGUUUGAUCAGGAUCCUAUUGUUACAUAAAUGAGUUCAUUUUAAGUUUUUUUUUUUUUUGUCUCCACAUAUUUAAAAUGAAAAUAAAGAGGACCUACAUAAAGGCCCAUAAAUAUUUGUA